GGGUCUGUAGCCGGCCAAGUAAGUCCCUUGGGAAAUCUGGCAGCUUAACUGUCAGGCUGCUAGGGGAUACUGCUAGGCUUGGGACCGGGAGAGGUGAGAGGUACCUUGGGGGUAGGGGUGAAAUCUUGUGAUCCUCGGGGGACCACCAGUGGCGAAGGCGUCUCACCAGAACGGGUCCGACGGUAAGGGACGAAAGCUAGGGGCACGAACCGGAUUAGAUACCCGGGUAGUCCUAGCCGUAAACGAUGCUCGCUAGGUGUCAGUCACGGUGCGACCGUGAUUGGUGCCGUAGGGAAGCCGUGAAGCGAGCCACCUGGGAAGUAUGGCCGCAAGGCUGAAACUUAAAGGAAUUGGCGGGGGAGCACUACAACGGGUGGAGCCUGCGGUUUAAUUGGAUUCAACGCCGGAAAUCUCACCGGGGGCGACAGCGAUAUGAAGGUCAGGCUGAAGACCUUACCCGAUUAGCUGAGA
This 471-nucleotide ribosomal RNA is filed under the name uncultured methanogenic archaeon. Its description in RNAcentral is "bacterial SSU rRNA". It matches the Rfam family "Archaeal small subunit ribosomal RNA", at positions 515 to 985 of the family's 1478-position model. Lineage: Archaea; Methanobacteriati; Methanobacteriota. The record is from RNAcentral.